This is a long non-coding RNA of Vicia villosa (hairy vetch), 1623 nucleotides long. RefSeq lists it as uncharacterized. The transcript has 3 exons. The record is from RefSeq and is a predicted model, not a curated record. Lineage: Eukaryota; Viridiplantae; Streptophyta; Magnoliopsida; Fabales; Fabaceae.
UAUUUAGGAGCUACAAUGGAAAUGGAAAUUCCUGUGCAUCAAACAUGGAUGUAUAGUAGGCUUCUCCCUGGCCGGAGCGGACAUACAUAUGAAUUUUUAAAAGGAGUUGAAGAGUUUAUAACCUUUGCUUGUCAACAAAAGGAGUAUUUGAAGGAUGGUGUAAUAAGAUAUCCAUGUAAAAAGUGCAAAAACAAGGACCACCUCAGCCCGGAUGAAGCAAACAGUCAUAUUCAUCAACAUGGGUUUACACCGGAAUAUUGGAAUUGGACAUGCCAUGGAGAUAUAAUUCCUCACAUCAAUGAUAGUGACAAUGAUGAUAUAGAUAUGGUAGCACCUUGUAGUAGUAGUCAAUAGUGGAGUUAUGAACAUGUUCAUAGAUACCAAGACAUGGUGUUUGAUGCUGUUGGUUUUAAUCGCGAGCAACAUUUUGUACAACAUGAAGAGGAACCUUCAAACAUGGAAGCAAAUUUUUUUAUGACAUGUUGAAUUCAACUCAGCAACCAUUGUGGUCGGGAUGUAAAAACACAACAGAGUUAUCUGCUGCUAGUAAGAUGUUGAGUUUAAAAUCUAAACACAACAUGUCACUGGCAUGUUUCGAUGAUAUGGUGAAGUUUAUGAAGGAAUCAAGCCACCCAAAGAAUGUAAUUCCCUCUAAAUUUAGGGAAACAAAAAAACUUGUGGAUGGACUUAGUUUAUCAAGGAUAAAGAUAGAUUGUUGCAUUGGUGGGUGUAUGUUGUAUUACAAAGAGGACAUAAAUUUAAAGGAAUGCAAAUUUUGCAAUGAGCCUCGAUACAAAACAUGUAUUAUGGGUAAGCGUAAGCGAAGGAUGUAUAUUUGAAGGAUGUAUAACAUGGUUUUUUUAAUACAAAAAAAGUUUACAUGGCCACCAGAACACAAAGUUACGGUGUGAUGUAACUUUGAAAGAAGAGGUGCCGCUAAGAUGUCUCGGCUACUACAAGAUGUUCGCAAAGACUUGGAGUACAGACCGGGUUGGAUGGGAGAUGAUGUGUGGCAGCAAUUAUCGGUACAUUGGAAUUCGUUAAAGUUCAAAAAAGCAUCUGAAACGAAUAAAAGAAACCGGUCUUCUAUGGAUGGCACAUCUCUUCACAAUGGAGGGUCUAUUCCUCAUUGUUUGCAUUGGAAAAGGAUGAGAAAGGAAAAGGGUGCAGAUCCAUCAUUGACCGAGUUCUAUUUUCGCACACAUCGGAAAAAAGGGUCAAAGUUGUGUACAAGUUCAUGUUGAAUCUGCAUAUGAUAAGUUUGAACCAAAAAAGUUGGAGAUUUCUUCUCAGAAUCCAACUAUUCUAAGAGAGGACGAAGCUGAUAGUCAACCAACUAUUGAAAUGCCACCUGAUUUGGAUAUAUGGGUAGAGUCGGUUGGAAAGAAGAAAGGGAGGGUAUUUGGUCUUGGAACCGCUUCUAAGACUUUGGUUUCAGUAUCAAAGAAAACCUCAAGUCUUUCAAGCGACUCUCAAGAGCUUGAUGUUUUGAGAAGUCAAGUCCAUGCUUUAAAUGCACCGUUGCAAAGACAAGAAGAAGAAAAGCUGGGGAUGGGGCAACAAUUGCAUCGACAAUAAAAGAGAUGGUCGAAUCGAAUAAUAAAAUUUCAUUUUUAAUGAAUC